UACUGCACCCGUGUCCUGCUGAUGUGUCCCUCGGGUCUCAGCUCUCACUGUCCACGGCUGGUUCUGUGCUGGUGACUCUACGAGAGAUGAAGAGAAUGUUGGUGAUGAAUGACUUGGCGAUGGAAUUAGCCCCAAGGGGGCAGUAUUGCAACACAAAGAAGGAGGAUCUGGAUCAGAACCUUUGGACGACAUUCAUUCAUAUCAGAGAGGAGACGUGGAGAUGCUUCAGAUUUCUUUGAUAAAACGUCAGGAGCCGUUCUCUCUCUGUGUUCUCUCCUGUGUCAACUCUUCAAACAUGGAUUUGUUGAACAGAAAGUGUUUGUUGUUGCGUUGAGAACUGAGUCGGACACAGUCUGGUUCACAUCCCCUGGUUACCAGAACACACAGUUGCCGCAGUAACUAUCAGCCUGCCUGAACACACACACACACACACACACACACACACACACACACACACACACACACACGCAGGUUAAAUACUCCGAUCAUAGUUCAGCAGCGUCUGUGUGAUGAACGCAUCACUCACUUCACUGAAUCUGUGUGUGUGUGUGUGUUGACAGGCCUGGUGUUUGACUAUGAACUGAAUUGAUUUUGUGGAUCAUCUGCCUCAGUGUGAACCGUGUGGUUCAGUUUUUAACCUCUGAGUACUAGUUAGUGGAGGUUAACUUCAAGUUAUAUUUUAUAUUUUUUUGUUAAUAGCUGUCUGUUAGAGAGACUUGUGAGACUACUGGUUUGAUGUGAAGAUACUGUAAUAGUUAAAGGAGUUUUAUUUCAUGGCUGACCUGAUGCUGACGUGUCUAUGUAAAAAAAAUAAUGCCACUAUUAAAAUAUUAUUAAAACAUUAAAUAUCUCUUUGCAUUUUGCGCAUUAAGGCAGUGACAUCCUAAGGUGGUGGGUUCAAUUCCAUUAUGUUUUAGUAUUUAUCCCGCAGUGAUUUGUCAUUUUUGUUUAAUUUGUUGAGUGAGAAUAUCAUUUCUGUAGAUAUUAAAGUUUUAAAACACAGCUGAGUGGUUCUUUGUUUGAGGUCGUGACCUCUGACUCUGACAAAGAUGUGGUGAUUGUGGCUGGAGUAUUUUUUAUGAAUACACAAUCAUAAUUAUUUUAAUAUCAAACCAGCUCAAAAAUGUCUGGAUUGUUUUUUAUUUUUAAUCUAUAUUUUGUUUAAAAAAGAAUCUAUGAUUUUUUCUAAAUUAUAUUCUACUGAAUACGACUGAACAACAUCAGGAGUGAAAAUGAAUUGUAUUUUUAAUCCUGAGCGUUACAGACUCCUUUUUUAUAUAUAUAUAUAUUUCUGCUGGUGAAUGUACAGUGAACGCGGACUAAAAAUGUCUCAGACGAUAUCGAUGCUUCUCUUCAGAGACGGAGUGAAUAAUUGUCUGUGCACAAUCAGAGAGUCCUAUCUUCUCUCUCAGUCUCGCUCUGACUCUCAUCGGUGUUUACCCAGAUACAAAUCAAUCACGUUAGGAAAAAAAAGGAACUCUGAACUCUUUAUCUCUUUGUCCUUCUUUUAGAAGGAAGUGACAGUCGGCUGGGUUUCUCCUGCAGAGAAAAAACAAUCAGCUGAUCUGUGUUUGGAUCAGACUCUGCUCAGACUGAGGUCCAGGCAAAAAGCUCCUGUAUGGAGGUGCCGUCUGAGGCGCCAUUCUCUGAGGGUAGUGGAAGUAAUGAAAAGUUGGUGGUGUAUCUUUGUCUGUGAGUGACGCCCUUCAGUUUCUGAGGUAGAGCGGGUUUUCUGAGAUGAUUUGAUUUAAAAUUAUGUUUAUAAUAGGCAUAAUUCUUUCAAAGUAAAAAAAUCUCCGUACAUAAAAUUAUGUAUGGAAAUAAAAUAUGGAAAGGUUUCUGGCGCGUCCACGCUUUAUCUUUGCAAAUUAUUUUUUACUGCAUGCUGGCCGUACAAGAGAGUUCAUAGAUAUGUUUUAACAUGGGCUUUAAAGCUAAAAAAUAAUUCAAUGUAUUUUUUGUAACAUAUCGCUGUCUGUUGUAGAACGACCUAAAAAGGUCAUUUUCUUAUUGUUUAAAAACCACACGAUUACAAAACGAACGCAGACGCCCCCAACAUGCUCCAAACGUCACAGCAAGCGCAAUGCGGCAUAAGACACACGCCGUUUGUGUGAAAGUAAAAUGACGCUGAUAACAGUUAAAUAUUAUGAGAGCAAACUGAGAAACACCGUAGAUUAUCACAGUCGAUGCCAGAACAAAAUGUCUUUUUUUGGUUGGUACAGGUGUUGAAAAGAGCUGCUUUUGUUUGUUUAAACUAAUGUUUAACUGUUGCUAAGCUAACUUUUACCUGACCCAAUUUAAAUUGUCAUACACCUUUAGUAGUUUCUAAUCCAACUUUUGGCAAAAUCUAAUUUUAAAUUAAAUUAAAAGUUGAUUUUUUUUUUACUAAAAUAUUUGGCUAAAAUCUUUUCACAUAAUCAUUUCAACAAAAAUCAAACUACCGUGAUUAUGAACCAUUCCACCUCCAAAAACAUUUAAAUGUUCUAGUGAGUAAAACAGAGAUGAGGCUGAGGUCACACUGCGACCAAGUGUUAGCGUGGAUCAGAGAGUAGCCUUUUGUUUUUGUUACCAUGGCAUCGUGCUGUAGUGUCAGGACUCAGCCUCUCUGGGCCGCAGCCGUCUCAACUCUUAAAGUUUGUGCUUCAUCUUUUCACACUCAUUAGUCUUUGACUUGAAUUAAAAGUGUGCUGAGGCUCCUCUUUGGAAAAAAACAAUUAAUCUAGCCACUCUCAGAAACACUCAGUGGUAGUAAAAAAAAAAAAAAAAAAAAAAAAGUGAGAGAAUUUAAUUCCCAGUUUUGACACCUACCAGGC
This is a long non-coding RNA of Cynoglossus semilaevis (tongue sole), 2813 nucleotides long. RefSeq lists it as uncharacterized. The transcript has 3 exons. The record is from RefSeq and is a predicted model, not a curated record. Lineage: Eukaryota; Metazoa; Chordata; Actinopteri; Pleuronectiformes; Cynoglossidae.